CAGUCGCCGCGGUAAAACGAAGGGUGCAAGCGUUACUCGGAAUUACUGGGCGUAAAGCGUGCGUAGGUGGUUGUUUAAGUCUGCUGUGAAAGCCCUGGGCUCAACCUGGGAAUUGCUGUGGAUACUGGGCGACUAGAGUAAGGUAGAGGAUAGUGGAAUUUCCGGUGUAGCAGUGAAAUGCGUAGAGAUCGGAAGGAACAUCUGUGGCGAAGGCGACUAUCUGGGCCAUUACUGACACUGAGGCACGAAAGCGUGGGGAGCAAACAGGAUUAGAUACCCCAGUAGUCCCUGUCUCUUAUAU
This 301-nucleotide ribosomal RNA is filed under the name uncultured bacterium. RNAcentral's name for it is "partial 16S ribosomal RNA". It matches the Rfam family "Bacterial small subunit ribosomal RNA", at positions 509 to 809 of the family's 1533-position model. The record is from RNAcentral.